UUGGCCCAGAUCGUUUACCGUGAAAAAAUUAGAGUGUUCAAAGCAGGCAGAUCCAAUUUUCUGCCACCGAAUACAUUAGCAUGGGAUAAUGGAAUAGGACCCUGUCCUCCUAUUUUCAGUUGGUUUUGGCAGCGCGAGGACUAGGGUAAUGAUUAAUAGGGAUAGUUGGGGGCAUUAAUAUUUAAUUGUCAGAGGUGAAAUUCUUGGAUUUAUGAAAGAUUAACUUCUGCGAAAGCAUCUGCCAAGGAUGUUUUCAUUAAUCAAGAACGAAAGUUAGGGGAUCGAAGACGAUCAGAUACCGUCGUAGUCUUAACCAUAAACGAUGCCGACCAGCGAUUAGGAGACGUUGAAUACAAAACACCACCAUCGGCGCGGUCGUCCUUGGCGUCUGUCCCUUUCAACGGGGGCAGGCGCGAGGGCGGUUUAGCCCGGUGGCACCGGUGAAUGACUCCCUAGCAGCUUGUGAGAA
This 469-nucleotide ribosomal RNA is filed under the name Acanthamoeba castellanii. RNAcentral's name for it is "SSU rRNA". It matches the Rfam family "Eukaryotic small subunit ribosomal RNA", at positions 738 to 1096 of the family's 1831-position model. The record is from RNAcentral. Lineage: Eukaryota; Discosea; Longamoebia; Acanthamoebidae.